Ceratina calcarata is the source of this 5135-nucleotide long non-coding RNA. RefSeq lists it as uncharacterized. The transcript has 3 exons. The record is from RefSeq and is a predicted model, not a curated record. NCBI's taxonomy places the organism in Eukaryota, Metazoa, Arthropoda, Insecta, Hymenoptera, Apidae.
GGGAGAGGAUACUACCGGCAGGGGUCAACCUCUCCGAGACCCCUUGCCGCUGGUUCUUUUCCAGCCGGCAGGAUGUGCGCGCACGCGGUUGAUAUCCUUUGACCUUACCGGUACCUGGAAACCAGAAUUUCGAUUCAAUUUUUGUCCCUCUCUUCCCAACUUUUCUUUUACUACGUGACAAAAUUUCCACCGAUCUAAUCGACCGUCUCCUGAAUUUAUCCAGUCUCUUUGAUCAUGCAAUUUGUAUUCAUAUUUAUAUCGUACAUAUUAUUUAAUCAUUAUCCAGUAAUCCUAUUAAAUUUUGACGCUAUCCUUAAUUUACACGUAUUGCUCUUUAUACUGCAGUUCAUUAGUGACUUGGACUUUGAUACACAGUCUCCUGUUUUUAAUUUUAAGAUGCUCACUCGUACAUACGUCUGCAUAUUCAUUUUAAAAGUCUCUCACAUAAAGUUUUACAGGACAGAAGCUUAUUCUUCACGUUGCCUGAUAAGUAUUUAAUUGCCAUAUACAUUCACAUUUUAUAUUCACAAGUAUCACGUUAUCUUUUAUAAGUAAAUAAAAUCACAAUUUUAAUUAGAAGUAUAAUACAAAUUAUACUUUCGAACGUCGGGGAAUUCGUUCGGAAAUGAAUUCCAUUUCACACGUACGCUCUCCGCUCUGUUCAGAGUCGUUGAAAAUUGUUAAUCGCGUACGUACGUACAUACAAGUACAGUAAUUCGCGGCUGGCGCGCGGUGUCCCAUGCGGUGUAUAAUUUAGAUUAUUUUUAAGCAUUCCGUUUUUUUUUUUACUGGUGCGCCACGCAGACGCGGCGUGCAUGGCACACUGUCAUGGAGAUUACUGUUGCAAGAGGUCAAGUAUAGCGGAUGCUCGAGGAUUUUUCGCGGAGGGGGAUGCGUGUACGCGGGGCAUGCAGGUGAUAUCCUUUGACCUUACCGGUACCCGAACAGGCUCUAAUGCGGGCUUCGCUCGGUUCGGCUUCGAACCUCGUCGCGGAUACGUUUUAGCGUUUUCUAACCGCGUGCUUACGUACUAAACCCGUUGUUUUUGCACACCAAUUUCAGCUCUCUUAUACUCGUUGCAUAACACUUUUCUUCGUUUACUCUCCUAUCUAGCCGCAUUUUUUUAUCAUCGUGUGUAGAGUUUAUUGUCGCCUAACGUUUAAUGAAUAACUUCCAUAAAAGAAGAGAUGGCUCACGUGAAUAACGGGACUUAUCCUUGAACUAGUACCGUCGGUAUUGUAACGAAUCAGUUGGGAGCGAGAUAACAGGAAACGUUUUAAUAAAUCGUACCUCGAUCUGGUGUAACAACUGUUCUUAUCUCAUACACGCGUUACUAUACCACCCGAGGGUACCACCUGUUUUCUCAUUAUCUGCCACAUAAAUCAACAAAUGAUCGACUUAAAUAAGCUCCAUUCAUCAACCAAUUUAAAGAAUAACAAUUGAAUAGUCAUUAUAAUUUCAAUUCAAAAGCAAUGAGAACUCGCUCACCAUUCUUUUAAUGUCAAGAAACGAUAGAGUUAAAGAUUAGAAGAAAAUGUAUAAUGAAUUUUGAUAAAGGAAAUCGAUACGAAGUUCUAAUAACGAUCAUUAAAUGAAAUCAGUGCAGAUUAAUGCAAUAUCUCGAUCACGUUGUGUCAUUAAACUUGAGAGAUCAUCGUCUAAUUACUGAAUCCAUGGGCGAAGGGGACCGAGAUGGUAAGAUGUAAGGAACAGAUCCUGAAGAUGGAGGACGAAAUGUUGCAAAGAGAUAGGAUGCAGCGUGGCAAAAGCAAGGUACGGGACGGUACGGCGCGGUACGUUCACCAAUGACCGAGUGGCACGGAUCUUCUUCCAUCCUUUCCUCUCUUCUCUCAUCUCCGCGUCGUCGUGCAAACAUUCUCCGUAAGUAAGUACACACGAGGGGGCGAAGAGGAGUGCUAGAACAGAAUACAGCCGCGCGCGUGCAUGUGUGCGGCGCACUUAUCGUUAGAUCCACCGCGAACCUAUCCCCGUCCGAAUGCAACGCUUGAAUAUUUUCAGCGGCUCUCUUUGCCGGUAGAUAUUAAUAGUGUGCAGUUACUUCACGAGCUUGAUAUCAGUAGACUUGUUCACCGCGUGAACGAUUUUCACAGAGCCAGCCGGGAAACAUCGACGUUUUGUACGUUCUUGGCCAGAGACCGAAGCAAGACAACUUAUUUCUUGCUUACAAGGCUUUUUUUUCAUACUCUUUGCCUUUGAAUAAUGACGAAUCAAGUGAAUAUUCUAUGUAAAAUAAUUGUUAACCUUCUACAAAGUGUACGUGAAUAUCUUGUUGAAAGUAAUUUUUCAAAUGAGUCAUUCCACGUCAGUGGAGGAGAUCAAUGUCGAUCCCUUCGCAUUGGGAUUUAACGUCACCGCGGAGGAAAAGGGAAAAAAGGCGAGCGUAAAGAGUAAAACGGUUGCGCGAAUGGAAUCGUGGCGAGAGGAGGCAGGCGAGGGCAGACGCAAAAGGAAAGGCGCACCGUUGCACUUGUGCCGUCGCGGAGCAAGAAGCGCGGGGUUUCUCUCCUCUCCAGCCGCGAUUCCUGCCCGGUGCGGUGCAUUCUAAUCGGCCGACUAUAAUUAAGCUCGCGAACCUCGUAUUGGCGCCACGUGAGUAUUCCCGCCGGUACGUGCCGGCAGACCAGUAUUUAUUGCGUUUCCCUCUCUCCUUCUUUAAUUAUCUAUCCAAUGCGCGAUAAUCAAAGGGUCGCAUCAAUUAACGCGAACACGGUGUACGACGUGUGUUUAUCUUUUUCUAUACGCGUCGUGUGUGUCGCAAUAGGGCUAAUUAAUAACAGAUCUUCAAGAUACAAAUUCCAAGCAAAUCAACUUCAUGAUUUAUUGACUACAUUUUUUAUACGAAUCCUUCGAUUUGCAGCGCAUAUGGUAAAAAAGCAAAAUCAUACUUUAAGAAACAAUAUAUUAUACGUGUAAUACGUGUGUACGUUUGGUAGAAGGGAUGAAAUAAAAAAACUGACAUGAACCGAUGAAUGGUAGCAGUAAAUGGCUUUCGCGAGGUAGCUGGGGUUAUUGAGGUCGAAUUGACGCGGCGCGACGUUUAGAAAUAGGAACGAUUCACGCGCGUAUGUGUAAAGAGAGGGUGGCUUGUAUACUAUUAACGGUGCAUUAAGCUUCUUUCAGACGGCUUGGACGAAUUUCCUGAAGAUGAAACGUGUUGUCAUUUACAUUUCGUAAACAAAAAAUACGAUUUCUUUUUUUAACCAGUCGAUAUAUUUGAGAUAUUCAAAACUCUCAAGAUCGUCAAGACUUUCAAGAGUUCAAAGCUUCGGAUUAUAUUCGAAAUGGUACAAACUUUUUGUCGCACGAUAGAUUCGAAGCGAUUCGACGUAAUCCCAUGGCUAACUGUCGAUUCUCGUUUAUACGAAGAGAAUUUCGCGAAGGAUAAAAUACCAAAUCCCACCUUACACACCGUUGCAACCCGGCAUUAUCAGGAGAGGAAAAAAGGAUAAUGGCGCAACAACCGCGCCCAGAUUCCAUCAUCUGGGGGCCAACAACAAAAUCCCGAGGCUCCCGCGGAUGUCGAACCGUCGAAAAGCAGAGUGGGUGUACAUAAUAUAACGUAAUAGGCCAGCUCGUUUUCUGAAAAGAACCGACGGGGAAUCAUACCUACACAGCUCCUGCUCGGUUUAUCGACGAUAAUGAGCCGGAUCGAUUCGUACGCGUACCUACAUCGCUGGAUAAAAGGCGAGCGCAUAGUUGAAUCGUGGGAAUCGAUCGGAUUACAUCCGCCCAAUUAAUUUUUUUCGCCGGAACACCGCACUGCCCUUCCUCGCGUCCAUCGCGUCGCGUCGCGUCCCAGGAUGCUCGAGCCGUCCUCCUCCUCCUACCUCGGACAGGUCUCGUUUGACUCGGUGCACCGAGGUGCAACGUUGCGAUCGCACCUGGAAAGGGAACCGGCCGGAAGCGGUCUCUGAUGUUUUUGGCCAGUUCAACAGAGAUUUUGCCCAUCGCGGUUCGCCUGAUUUUUAGGUGACAGUGCCUCGUCCACAGUUAUCAUUCUCUUCCUACACGUUUCCACGUGUAUAGAGGCAUAUUCAAAUAAUUAUUAUGACAUCUUACACAAUUUCAAGAAAACACCGUUCGCAUUUAUUUUUUUGAUUCAUUAUUAUACCGACUUUAUAAUACUGUAAAACUAGAAUUUGUAAUAUAAAACAAAGAAUCCAUUUAUUGGCAGAAAUGUUCGAAAAUACAUAUCAAUAUUUUUUAAGAAUGCAAGGAAUUGUAAUCCAGAUUUCAUUUUUGAAAUCGAUAUCAUAAAUGUUUUAUUUUGCAUAAGAUUAAUAAGAUCUGCAGUCUAGUUAUAGACGAUAGUAUUGUAAUCGUUGGUGGAAGGGGCGGAUCAGGCUCAGAAAAAGGAGAGUGGAAGAUAGGACGAGGAGGGAGAAGGAAGAAGAUCCUUAACGCCGUCUCACGUGGCUGUAAACUCCUGCACGCUGUACACCGAACCGGAGGGCAAGUGAAAGUCUCUCGAAAGACGAUGUCGAUGAGUACACGUUACUCACACGUUCCUCUGCUUAUACGUACUUACGUACAUGCGGCUGAGGAAUAAUACAUAUAGCUAUCCGUACUUGUACCUUUUAACUGUAUGGACUCCGACGCGUCUCUCCUCACUGCAUCUGUGAGGAAACCGUUCUUCCAUCGCGCAUCUCAUUCCAUAUUGGUUCUCGAUAAACCUGAAACGGCACAGCAUAUUUUAGAGGCGUGGAGUAUAUCAUUUCCCAUUCAUAGCACGACGUUCACAUAAAAUGGUCAUAAAUAUUGACGAAUGGAAGACAAUUUCUCGAUCCGUCGGGUCCGAUGAUCGUCGACGGUCAGACUGUAGGCGCCAAAUUUGUCGAGCUGAGAAACCAGCGCGACGUCUAAUCGACGGUAGCUUCGAAACCGUCGGAGCGUUCAAUCGAAUCUGUCUGAUCGAUUGCGGCAGAUUUCACCGGGGGCACCGCCGAAUCUCUUCCGAUUCGAUUCAACGCAGCUUUCGUCUGGUUGCCUCUUUUCUACAGCCAACCACAGAGACAUGCAUGUAUAGGUUGGGACAAUGAUUUCUGACCAGCUCUGACUUUGUAUGUUAUUAUUAAUUAAGCUAAUAAGCGAAUAAAGAAUAAAUAAGUACAUAA